GACGAACGCUGGCGGCGUGCUUAACACAUGCAAGUCGAACGGUAAGGCCCUUCGGGGUACACGAGUGGCGAACGGGUGAGUAACACGUGAGUAACCUGCCCUUGACUCUGGGAUAACUGCGGGAAACUGUAGCUAAUACCGGAUACGACCCUCGGCGGCAUCGCCAGGGGGUGGAAAGAAUUUCGGUCAAGGAUGGACUCGCGGCCUAUCAGCUAGUUGGUGAGGUAACGGCUCACCAAGGCGACGACGGGUAGCCGGCCUGAGAGGGUGACCGGCCACACUGGGACUGAGACACGGCCCAGACUCCUACGGGAGGCAGCAGUGGGGAAUAUUGCACAAUGGGCGCAAGCCUGAUGCAGCAACGCCGCGUGAGGGAUGACGGCCUUCGGGUUGUAAACCUCUUUUAGUAGGGAAGAAGCGAAAGUGACGGUACCUGCAGAAAAAGCACCGGCUAACUACGUGCCAGCAGCCGCAGUAA
Molecule: ribosomal RNA, 478 nt
Filed under: uncultured bacterium
Lineage: Bacteria
Description: partial 16S ribosomal RNA
Rfam family: Bacterial small subunit ribosomal RNA
Source: RNAcentral